This 801-nucleotide ribosomal RNA is filed under the name uncultured bacterium. RNAcentral describes it as "bacterial SSU rRNA". It matches the Rfam family "Bacterial small subunit ribosomal RNA", at positions 101 to 897 of the family's 1533-position model. The record is from RNAcentral.
AACGGGUGAGUAAUGCAUCGGAACGUACCUAGUCGUGGGGGAUAACGUAGCGAAAGUUACGCUAAUACCGCAUACGCCCUACGGGGGAAAGCGGGGGACCUUCGGGCCUCGCGCUAACAGAUGAGCCUGCGUUGGAUUAGCUAGUUGGUAGGGUAAAGGCCUACCAAGGCGACGAUCCGUAGCUGGUCUGAGAGGACGACCAGCCACACUGGAACUGAGACACGGUCCAGACUCCUACGGGAGGCAGCAGUGGGGAAUUUUGGACAAUGGGGGCAACCCUGAUCCAGCCAUUCCGCGUGAGUGAAGAAGGCCUUCGGGUUGUAAAGCUCUUUCAGCAGGAACGAAACGGUGGCCCCUAAUACGGGCUACUAAUGACGGUACCUGAAGAAGAAGCACCGGCUAACUACGUGCCAGCAGCCGCGGUAAUACGUAGGGUGCGAGCGUUAAUCGGAAUUACUGGGCGUAAAGCGUGCGCAGGCGGUUAUGUAAGACAGGUGUGAAAUCCCCGGGCUCAACCUGGGAACUGCGCUUGUGACUGCAUAACUCGAGUGUGGCAGAGGGGGGUGGAAUUCCACGUGUAGCAGUGAAAUGCGUAGAGAUGUGGAGGAACACCGAUGGCGAAGGCAGCCCCCUGGGUCAACACUGACGCUCAUGCACGAAAGCGUGGGGAGCAAACAGGAUUAGAUACCCUGGUAGUCCACGCCCUAAACGAUGCGAACUAUGUGUUGGGGAAGGAGACUUUCUUAGUACCGCAGCUAACGCGUGAAGUUCGCCGCCUGGGGAGUACGGUCGCAAGAUUAA